CAGCCGCCGCGGUAAUACAGAGGGUGCGAGCGUUAAUCGGAUUUACUGGGCGUAAAGCGUGCGUAGGCGGCUUCUUAAGUCGGAUGUGAAAUCCCUGAGCUUAACUUAGGAAUUGCAUUCGAUACUGGGAAGCUAGAGUAUGGGAGAGGAUGGUAGAAUUCCAGGUGUAGCGGUGAAAUGCGUAGAGAUCUGGAGGAAUGCCGAUGGCGAAGGCAGCCAUCUGGCCUAAUACUGACGCUGAGGUACGAAAGCAUGGGGAGCAAACAGGAUUAGAUACCCCGGUAGUCCCUGUCUCUUAUAA
RNAcentral lists this ribosomal RNA (301 nucleotides) under uncultured bacterium. RNAcentral describes it as "partial 16S ribosomal RNA". It matches the Rfam family "Bacterial small subunit ribosomal RNA", at positions 509 to 809 of the family's 1533-position model. The record is from RNAcentral.